CGGAAAAAUUCUAAGAAGGUAACUUACGUUUUGAAAUCAAGGGAUGAAGGGUCAAAAAAUGGUCGGAUGCAAUGGAAGAUGAUUACGCAAUGGUUAAACAAAGAGGUGCACAAGAAGAAAAAAAGCAUAUAGAGAAGGACAAGUGAGCGAAAUCACGAUGAAAAAAUUGAACAAGUAAACGAAAUCCCUUUAUUACUUCACAGUUUACGGGUGUUCGCUGUGCGACAUAUGAAAAUGUAUAGUGGGAGUGGUGAGAAGUUUGAUUGCAUAUUCAGCAAAUAUAAAGAAAUUCAAGACUUGCAACUUAAGAACAUGAGGAUGAAGAUAGCAACAAAAUUGCCAGUAUAAGAGGCAAAUGAUCAUGUUUGUUAAUAUAUGGUGUAUUAUGUUGUUUGGUAGAGGGAAUGUUGGUACUGCACGUGUGCAUAGUUUGAAAUAGCAUACAUAUUGGAAUUG
Long non-coding RNA from Helianthus annuus (common sunflower), 456 nucleotides. RefSeq lists it as uncharacterized. NCBI's taxonomy places the organism in Eukaryota, Viridiplantae, Streptophyta, Magnoliopsida, Asterales, Asteraceae. The transcript has 2 exons. The record is from RefSeq and is a predicted model, not a curated record.